ACUUCCGUUAAUUGAUUAUGACGUGCUUGCACUGAAUGAGAUUUUAACACGAAGUGAGUGGCGGACGGGUGAGUAACACGUGGGUAACCUGCCCAGAAGCAGGGGAUAACACCUGGAAACAGAUGCUAAUACCGUAUAACAGAGAAAACCGCCUGGUUUUCUUUUAAAAGAUGGCUCUGCUAUCACUUCUGGAUGGACCCGCGGCGCAUUAGCUAGUUGGUGAGGUAACGGCUCACCAAGGCGAUGAUGCGUAGCCGACCUGAGAGGGUAAUCGGCCACAUUGGGACUGAGACACGGCCCAGACUCCUACGGGAGGCAGCAGUAGGGAAUCUUCCACAAUGGACGCAAGUCUGAUGGAGCAACGCCGCGUGAGUGAAGAAGGGUUUCGGCUCGUAAAGCUCUGUUGUUAAAGAAGAACGUGGGUGAGAGUAACUGUUCACCCAGUGACGGUAUUUAACCAGAAAGCCACGGCUAACUACGUGCCAGCAGCCGCGGUAAUACGUAGGUGGCAAGCGUUAUCCGGAUUUAUUGGGCGUAAAGCGAGCGCAGGCGGUCUUUUAAGUCUAAUGUGAAAGCCUUCGGCUCAACCGAAGAAGUGCAUUGGAAACUGGGAGACUUGAGUGCAGAAGAGGACAGUGGAACUCCAUGUGUAGCGGUGAAAUGCGUAGAUAUAUGGAAGAACACCAGUGGCGAAGGCGGCUGUCUGGUCUGUAACUGACGCUGAGGCUCGAAAGCAUGGGUAGCGAACAGGAUUAGAUACCCUGGUAGUCCAUGCCGUAAACGAUGAUUACUAAGUGUUGGAGGGUUUCCGCCCUUCAGUGCUGCAGCUAACGCAUUAAGUAAUCCGCCUGGGGAGUACGACCGCAAGGUUGAAACUCAAAAGAAUUGACGGGGGCCCGCACAAGCGGUGGAGCAUGUGGUUUAAUUCGAAGCUACGCGAAGAACCUUACCAGGUCUUGACAUCUUCUGCCAACCUAAGAGAUUAGGCGUUCCCUUCGGGACAGAAUGACAGGUGGUGCAUGGUUGUCGUCAGCUCGUGUCGUGAGAUGUUGGGUUAAGUCCCGCAACGAGCGCAACCCUUAUUACUAGUUGCCAGCAUUCAGUUGGGCACUCUAGUGAGACUGCCGGUGACAAACCGGAGGAAGGUGGGGACGACGUCAAAUCAUCAUGCCCCUUAUGACCUGGGCUACACACGUGCUACAAUGGAUGGUACAACGAGUCGCGAAACCGCGAGGUUUAGCUAAUCUCUUAAAACCAUUCUCAGUUCGGACUGUAGGCUGCAACUCGCCUACACGAAGUCGGAAUCGCUAGUAAUCGCGGAUCAGCAUGCCGCGGUGAAUACGUUCCCGGGCCUUGUACACACCGCCCGUCACACCAUGAGAGUUUGUAACACCCAAAGCCGGUGGGGUAAC
This 1412-nucleotide ribosomal RNA is filed under the name Pediococcus acidilactici. RNAcentral's name for it is "bacterial SSU rRNA". It matches the Rfam family "Bacterial small subunit ribosomal RNA". Lineage: Bacteria; Bacillati; Bacillota; Bacilli; Lactobacillales; Lactobacillaceae. The record is from RNAcentral. RNAcentral also lists the same sequence under 1 other name.